ACGUAGGGGGCGAGCGUUGUCCGGAAUCAUUGGGCGUAAAGGGCGUGUAGGCGGUUUUGUAAGUCAGAUGUGAAAACUUGAGGCUCAACUUCAAGCCUGCAUCUGAAACUACAUCACUUGAGGGCAGGAGAGGAAAGUGGAAUUCCAUGUGUAGCGGUGAAAUGCGUAGAUAUAUGGAAGAACACCAGUGGCGAAGGCGACUUUCUGGACUGAACCUGACGCUGAGGCGCGAAAGCCAGGGGAGCGAACGG
Molecule: ribosomal RNA, 251 nt
Filed under: uncultured prokaryote
Description: partial 16S rRNA
Rfam family: Bacterial small subunit ribosomal RNA
Source: RNAcentral